UCUCUCCCAUCUCUCAUAUCAGACGUGUUAUAAAUGUCCUCCCAUCUCUCAUAUCAGACACGUGUUAUAAAUGUCCUCCCCUCUCUCAUAUCAGACGUGUUAUAAAUGUCUCCCCAUCUCUCAUAUCAGACACGUGUUAUAAAUGUCCUCCCAUCUCUCAUAUCAGACGUGUUACAAAUGUCCUCCCAUCUCUCAUAUCAGACGUGUUAUAAAUGUCCUCCCAUCUCUCAUAUCAGACGUGUUAUAAAUGUCCUCCCAUCUCUCAUAUCAGACGUGUUAUAUAUGUCCUCCCAUCUCUCAUAUCAGACGUGUUAUAAAUGUCCUCCCAUCUCUCUUAUCAGACAUGUGUUAUAAAUGUCCUCCCAUCUCUCAUAUCAGACGUGUGAUAUAAAUGUCCUCCCAUCUCUCAUAUCAGACGUGUUAUAAAUGUCCUCCCAUCUCUCAUAUCAGACGUGUUAUAAAUGUCCUCCCAUCUCUCAUAUCAGACGUGUGUUAUAA
Molecule: long non-coding RNA, 498 nt
Filed under: Salmo salar (Atlantic salmon)
Lineage: Eukaryota; Metazoa; Chordata; Actinopteri; Salmoniformes; Salmonidae
Description: lncRNA (ENSSSAG00000117501.1)
Source: RNAcentral